GACGAACGCUGGCGGCGUGCUUAACACAUGCAAGUCGAACGAAGUGGCGAACGGGUGAGUAACGCGUAAUCAACCUGCCCUUCAGAGGGGGACAACAGUUGGAAACGACUGCUAAUACCGCAUACUGAAGGAGGGGAUUGCGGCUGAUUAGCUAGUUGGAGGGGUAACGGCCCACCAAGGCGAUGAUCAGUAGCCGGUUUGGAAGGAUGAACGGCCACAUUGGGACUGGUACACGGCCCAGACUCCUACGGGAUGCAGCAGGGGGGAAACUUCCGCAAUGGACGAAAGUCUGACGAAGCAACUCCGCGGGAGUGAUGACGGCCUUCGGGUUGUAAAGCUCUGUUAAUCGGGACGCGGUACCGGAAUAGAAAGCCACGGCUAACUACGUGCCAGCAGCCGCGGUAAUAC
Molecule: ribosomal RNA, 408 nt
Filed under: uncultured bacterium
Lineage: Bacteria
Description: partial 16S ribosomal RNA
Rfam family: Bacterial small subunit ribosomal RNA
Source: RNAcentral